UCGGCUGGGUCCGCGAGGUGUGUGGGGGCAGCGGCAGAGCCCCUGCCCCAGACUCAGGCAGGACCUGGCAUGUCUGUGCCCAUCUGCAAGCCAGGGCACCCCCGAAGCUCUGAGCCUCCCCCAGAGCCAGUUCCACAGGUUUCCCCCAACCCCUUUACAGACAUUGCAGAAGAAGGUGUCGGUCGUGAGUGUGGCUGAAAUUACGUUCGACACAUCCGUGUACUCCCAGCUUCCAGGACAGGAGGCAUUUAUGAGAGCUCAGAUGGAGAUGGUGCUAGAAGAAGACGAGGUCUACAAUGCCAUUCCCAUCAUCAUGGGCAGCUCUGUGGGGGCUCUGCUACUGCUGGCGCUCAUCACAGCCACACUGUACAAGGCAAGUGUUUUAUCCAACUCUUUUUUUUUUUUUUUUUUUUUGAGACGGAGUUUCCACUCUUAUUGCCCAGGCUGGAGUGCAAUGGCAUGAUCUUGGCUCACUGCAACCUCCACCUCCCAGGUUCAAGUGAUUCUCCUGUCUCA
Molecule: small RNA, 516 nt
Filed under: Pan troglodytes (chimpanzee)
Lineage: Eukaryota; Metazoa; Chordata; Mammalia; Primates; Hominidae
Description: retained intron
Source: RNAcentral